Molecule: transfer RNA, 73 nt
Filed under: Mus musculus (house mouse)
Lineage: Eukaryota; Metazoa; Chordata; Mammalia; Rodentia; Muridae
Rfam family: tRNA
About the family: Transfer RNA (tRNA) molecules are approximately 80 nucleotides in length. Their secondary structure includes four short double-helical elements and three loops (D, anti-codon, and T loops). Further hydrogen bonds mediate the characteristic L-shaped molecular structure. tRNAs have two regions of fundamental functional importance: the anti-codon, which is responsible for specific mRNA codon recognition, and the 3' end, to which the tRNAs corresponding amino acid is attached (by aminoacyl-tRNA synthetases). tRNAs cope with the degeneracy of the genetic code in two manners: having more than one tRNA (with a specific anti-codon) for a particular amino acid; and 'wobble' base-pairing, i.e. permitting non-standard base-pairing at the 3rd anti-codon position.
Source: Rfam by way of RNAcentral
GGGGGUAUGGUUCAGUAGGUAGAGUACCUGCCUAUCAUGCAGAAGGCCCUGGGUUUGAUUUCCAGCACCACAG